Molecule: small RNA, 74 nt
Filed under: Xanthomonas campestris
Lineage: Bacteria; Pseudomonadati; Pseudomonadota; Gammaproteobacteria; Lysobacterales; Lysobacteraceae
Also listed under: 2 other names
Description: sX9 sRNA
Rfam family: Xanthomonas sRNA sX9
Source: RNAcentral
AUGUACCCACUACACUCCGGUUCCUCCGCGCCGUCCGCACCCACCUGACGACUGCUCGCUACGUUUUGUUAGCC